RNAcentral lists this long non-coding RNA (661 nucleotides) under Malus domestica (apple). RNAcentral's name for it is "long non-coding RNA (MDOM_LNC007989)". Lineage: Eukaryota; Viridiplantae; Streptophyta; Magnoliopsida; Rosales; Rosaceae. The record is from RNAcentral.
UUGGUAACGAGAGUAAAUCGAUCUUUGCUCCUUAUUAUACAAUAAUUACAUAACUUGUGACCUAAGUACUGUUGGAAAUUCAAAUCAAAACAGGUUGUAAAUGGCAGCUGCUAGCUGUUAGUUUCUUUACAGGUUGUAUUCACACUUGCUGCAACUGCAAAGACUAAAGUUUUCUCCAUGUGCCAGCUGAAAGUGUGUUGAAAGACAGCAGCUGUGUGCUGCCAUGCUGUGUGCUAGCCGAAAGGUUGUGUUUGCAAACUGGAAGGAUGCAAUGUAUGUGUGUGCCAACUAUCCAAAGUUGCUGCAUGUGUUUGAAAGAGUGGAAAGAUGGUAAACACCAUCAUUCAUUGUAUGUGUUGUUGUAUUGUUUAUCAAUUUCUGUUUUGUAUAAAUAGGCCUUCUUGCUAGGCUUUAGAAUCAUCCAUUCCAAUCCCAUUCUCAUUUUCAGCUUGUAAGCUUUAAGAGUUGUAAACUCUUCUAAUAUUUCAAAGUGUUUGUUAUCACCAAGCUUGCUACUUCUUUCCUUUUGUUUGUCCAAUUUUAUUGAGGGUGCAAAGUGAGAGGUGUGAUAGAGUUUGUAAACUUAUCACCCACAUAUUUUGGUGUUGAGUUAGUAAACUUUUCAAUUCCAACAGUUGGUAUCAGAGCCAGAAUACCAUUC